Molecule: ribosomal RNA, 253 nt
Filed under: uncultured bacterium
Lineage: Bacteria
Description: partial 16S ribosomal RNA
Rfam family: Bacterial small subunit ribosomal RNA
Source: RNAcentral
UACGGAGGGUGCGAGCGUUGUUCGGAAUCACUGGGCGGAAAGCGCGUGUAGGCGGCCCACUAAGUCUGAUGUGAAAGCCCGGGGCUCACCCCCGGAAGUGCAUUGGAAACUGGUGGACUCGAGUCCCGGAGAGGAGAGUGGAAUUCCUGGUGUAGCGGUGAAAUGCGUAGAUAUCAGGAGGAACACCGGUGGCGAAGGCGGCUCUCUGGACGGUGACUGACGCUGAGACGCGAAAGCGUGGGGAGCAAACAGG